CCUGAUGCAGCAACGCCGCGUGAGGGACGACGGCCUUCGGGUUGUAAACCUCUUUUAGCAGGGAAGAAGCGAAAGUGACGGUACCUGCAGAAAAAGCACCGGCUAACUACGUGCCAGCAGCCGCGGUAAUACGUAGGGUGCAAGCGUUAUCCGGAAUUAUUGGGCGUAAAGAGCUCGUAGGCGGUUUGUCGCGUCUGCUGUGAAACCCCGAGGCUCAACCUCGGGCCUGCAGUGGGUACGGGCAGACUAGAGUGCGGUAGGGGAGAUUGGAAUUCCUGGUGUAGCGGUGGAAUGCGCAGAUAUCAGGAGGAACACCGAUGGCGAAGGCAGAUCUCUGGGCCGUAACUGACGCUGAGGAGCGAAAGGGUGGGGAGCAAACAGGCUUAGAUACCCUGGUAGUCCACCCCGUAAACGUUGGGAACUAGUUGUGGGGUCCAUUCCACGGAUUCCGUGACGCAGCUAACGCAUUAAGUUCCCCGCCUGGGGAGUACGGCCGCAAGGCUAAAACUCAAAGGAAUUGACGGGGACCCGCACAAGCGGCGGAGCAUGCGGAUUAAUUCGAUGCAACGCGAAGAACCUUACCAAGGCUUGACAUAUACGAGAACGGGCUAGAAAUAGUCAACUCUUUGGAC
This 632-nucleotide ribosomal RNA is filed under the name Microbacterium sp. So3Pw_2803. RNAcentral describes it as "bacterial SSU rRNA". It matches the Rfam family "Bacterial small subunit ribosomal RNA", at positions 382 to 1027 of the family's 1533-position model. The record is from RNAcentral. Lineage: Bacteria; Bacillati; Actinomycetota; Actinomycetes; Micrococcales; Microbacteriaceae.